CAGUCGCCGCGGGAAUACGGAGGGUGCAAGCGUUAUCCGGAUUUAUUGGGUUUAAAGGGUCCGUAGGCGGACUUAUAAGUCAGUGGUGAAAGCCUGUCGCUUAACGAUAGAACUGCCAUUGAUACUGUAAGUCUUGAGUAUAUUUGAGGUAGCUGGAAUAAGUAGUGUAGCGGUGAAAUGCAUAGAUAUUACUUAGAACACCAAUUGCGAAGGCAGGUUACCAAGAUAUAACUGACGCUGAGGGACGAAAGCGUGGGUAGCGAACAGGAUUAGAUACCCCGGUAGUCCCUGUCUCUUAUAA
This 301-nucleotide ribosomal RNA is filed under the name uncultured bacterium. RNAcentral's name for it is "partial 16S ribosomal RNA". It matches the Rfam family "Bacterial small subunit ribosomal RNA", at positions 509 to 809 of the family's 1533-position model. The record is from RNAcentral.